UGCAUGUACACCUGAGGACGUUCACCAGCAAUUCCAAUCUUGUGAUCAGAGUAACAAUUUUGACAGACAUGUUUGGUCAACCUAAAGGAUUUGCCUAGAUUGAAUUUGUUGAAGUUGAUACUGUUCAAAGUGCUCUACUGUUAAAUGAAUCAGAAUUGCAUGGUCAUCAGAUGAAGGCACAUUUGAUUCCAUAGGUAGAACUAAGUUGCAAGAUGCAUGCAAAGCUGGUUUGGUGACAAUUCAAGGCAAGAACUCAGCUGUGCCCGGAACUGUACUCAUCUAUCAAGCGGAGAAGCAGCUUCAGAUGAGUCUUGCAAGGUAGCCAUUGCAAAAUGAGCCUGUGUUAUGUUUUACCCAACUAACAUCCGAGGCAGUCCAAAAUGAGUCCUUACCCCUGCCGCAAUAGUAAGAAAUGUCCAUGCAACAACUUAGAUUUGACCACCAAGAUGGUUGCUUACAAAAUGGCUUUAGUCAUCAAGCUGACAAAUGAUUUUAUCUCCUCUCUAGGAGACCAUCUCUUAAGUAGAGAUGGUGUGUCUAAGAUCAUUAAGCAUCUCUUCUAAAGACA
Gossypium raimondii (Peruvian cotton) is the source of this 568-nucleotide long non-coding RNA. RefSeq lists it as uncharacterized. Lineage: Eukaryota; Viridiplantae; Streptophyta; Magnoliopsida; Malvales; Malvaceae. The transcript has 3 exons. The record is from RefSeq and is a predicted model, not a curated record.